CGCAUGCGCAGUGGCGUGCCCGGCACGGAGCCGGGGAGGCGUCGCGGGGCUGGGCCCGCCCGGGAGCCUCUCCGAGAAAAGAAAACCUGCGCUUUCUCCCGCCCCGGCCCCGGGCCGAGGGGCAGCAGAGCGGGGAGCAACACCUGAGCAGCCCAGGGCUAAGCUAGAGAAAAGGAGGAGAGAGUAGCAAGUGGGACUCCCAUGUUUAGAUCCAUCCUUGGAUCCCAGGUUCUCCCAGUGGGUCUGUGGUGCCCAAAGGAAGGAGAUGCUGGGAGUACCUGUUUUUCCACCUGUUGAGCUUGGAAGAGACACUGAGCAUGAAGUUGCAGGGAAGCUGCACUUGUGUAGUGACUGGAGAAGAAGCAUCUUGCCCGUCAUCCCCCCCACCAGCACGUGCCAUGGUCAUUUUCCCUCUGGGUCCUUGUUUCCCUCUGUGUCUCUGUAUCCCUCUGUCCUUGCUGUGUGUUUAGCACCAUGUCUUUUUCUCUUUUUCCUGAAGACACCAAUUGGAGUUCUGGCCUGGGUGAGGUGGAUGCUUGCCAAGGGUUUGUUUGCAGGUGUGUUUGCUGUGUCCCCACAGUACACUGCUUCGAGCACGGCAUAGCAAGGAGCUGCUUACUCUAUAUGCUUGCACCUGCUUCACGAUCCCUGCUCAUCACAAUAACCCAUGAAUUUUCCCACCUCUUGGCCAAAUAAACUUUCUGGGGUAACUUCGGUGAUCUCCCACAGAAGAUCCCUCAUCUGCCUCAUGACCACCGUGACAGAUGGUGAUUGAAGCUCCCUUCUAAGGACUGGGACUGAGACCCCUAUAAUCCUAACACAGGGGCGCUGGCCUGACUGAAAGCAGGAUGUUUGCCAAGUGUUGCCUGCAGGUGUGUUCACUGGACCAAGAAAACAAUGGGUCUCGCUCACUGCUGAAAUUGACUUGCCCUGCUUUAGAACAUGGACUGUCUGGACCUGCUUUUCAAUAGACUCGUUUCUUCACUACCUGUUCCCCCCAACACUGCAGAGGACUAUAAAAGACCCCUAAGUUAACCAAGACUUUGAGAUUCUCCCUGAUGAAUGACAGAUCUAUUGGCUGGACCACAAGGAUUUCGUCUCUCCAUUGGUAGCUAUAUCCCCCUUCCCCUCUUUCUCUCCCUCUCUCUAUCCUACAUCUCCUUUCUAAUCCCUCUAUCACAUUUGUUGUGGGCACUCAAUAAAAGGUGCAUUUGUUGUGAUUAAA
Molecule: long non-coding RNA, 1225 nt
Organism: Vidua chalybeata
Lineage: Eukaryota; Metazoa; Chordata; Aves; Passeriformes; Viduidae
Exons: 2
Source: RefSeq, a predicted model, not a curated record